UACGAAGGUCCCAAGCGUUGUUCGGAAUCACUGGGCGUAAAGGGAGCGUAGGCGGCGUGGUAAGUCAGAUGUGAAAUCCCGGGGCUCAACCCCGGAACUGCAUCCGAUACUGCCAUGCUAGAGGAUUGGAGAGGUAGCUGGAAUUCUUGGUGUAGCAGUGAAAUGCGUAGAGAUCAAGAGGAACACGCGUGGCGAAAGCGAGCUACUGGACAAUUCCUGACGCUGAGGCUCGAAGGCCAGGGUAGCGAAAGGG
RNAcentral lists this ribosomal RNA (253 nucleotides) under uncultured bacterium. RNAcentral describes it as "partial 16S ribosomal RNA". It matches the Rfam family "Bacterial small subunit ribosomal RNA", at positions 524 to 776 of the family's 1533-position model. The record is from RNAcentral.